AGACCCGAAACCCGGUGAUCUAGCCAUGGGCAGGUUGAAGGUUGGGUAACACUAACUGGAGGACCGAACCGACUAAUGUUGAAAAAUUAGCGGAUGACCUGUGGCUGGGGGUGAAAGGCCAAUCAAACCGGGAGAUAGCUGGUUCUCCCCGAAAGCUAUUUAGGUAGCGCCUCGUGAAUUCAUCUCCGGGGGUAGAGCACUGUUUCGGCUAGGGGGCCAUCCCGGCUUACCAACCCGAUGCAAACUGCGAAUACCGGAGAAUGUUAUCACGGGAGACACACGGCGGGUGCUAACGUCCGUCGUGAAGAGGGAAACAACCCAGACCGCCAGCUAAGGUCCCAAAGUCAUGGUUAAGUGGGAAACGAUGUGGGAAGGCCCAGACAGCCAGGAUGUUGGCUUAGAAGCAGCCAUCAUUUAAAGAAAGCGUAAUAGCUCACUGGUCGAGUCGGCCUGCGCGGAAGAUGUAACGGGGCUAAACCAUGCACCGAAGCUGCGGCAGCGACACUCAGGUGUUGUUGGGUAGGGGAGCGUUCUGUAAGCCUGCGAAGGUGGCCUGUGAGGGUUGCUGGAGGUAUCAGAAGUGCGAAUGCUGACAUAAGUAACGAUAAAGCGGGUGAAAAGCCCGCUCGCCGGAAGACCAAGGGUUCCUGUCCAACGUUAAUCGGGGCAGGGUGAGUCGACCCCUAAGGCGAGGCCGAAAGGCGUAGUCGAUGGGAAACGGGUUAAUAUUCCCGUACUUGGUGUUACUGCGAAGGGGGGACGGAGAAGGCUAUGUUGGCCGGGCGACGGUUGUCCCGGUUUAAGCGUGUAGGUGUGUGUUCCAGGUAAAUCCGGUUCACUUUAACACUGAGGCGUGACGACGAGGCACUACGGUGCUGAAGCAACAAAUGCCCUGCUUCCAGGAAAAGCCUCUAAGCAUCAGGUAACAUCAAAUCGUACCCCAAACCGACACAGGUGGUCAGGUAGAGAAUACCAAGGCGCUUGAGAGAACUCGGGUGAAGGAACUAGGCAAAAUGGUGCCGUAACUUCGGGAGAAGGCACGCUGACACGUAGGUGAAGUGAUUUACUCAUGGAGCUGAAGUCAGUCGAAGAUACCAGCUGGCUGCAACUGUUUAUUAAAAACACAGCACUGUGCAAACACGAAAGUGGACGUAUACGGUGUGACGCCUGCCCGGUGCCGGAAGGUUAAUUGAUGGGGUCAGCGCAAGCGAAGCUCCUGAUCGAAGCCCCGGUAAACGGCGGCCGUAACUAUAACGGUCCUAAGGUAGCGAAAUUCCUUGUCGGGUAAGUUCCGACCUGCACGAAUGGCGUAAUGAUGGCCAGGCUGUCUCCACCCGAGACUCAGUGAAAUUGAACUCGCUGUGAAGAUGCAGUGUACCCGCGGCAAGACGGAAAGACCCCGUGAACCUUUACUAUAGCUUGACACUGAACAUUGAGCCUUGAUGUGUAGGAUAGGUGGGAGGCUUUGAAGUGUGGACGCCAGUCUGCAUGGAGCCGGCCUUGAAAUACCACCCUUUAAUGUUUGAUGUUCUAACGUGGACCCGUGAUCCGGGUUGCGGACAGUGUCUGGUGGGUAGUUUGACUGGGGCGGUCUCCUCCUAAAGAGUAACGGAGGAGCACGAAGGUUGGCUAAUCCUGGUCGGACAUCAGGAGGUUAGUGCAAUGGCAUAAGCCAGCUUGACUGCGAGCGUGACGGCGCGAGCAGGUGCGAAAGCAGGUCAUAGUGAUCCGGUGGUUCUGAAUGGAAGGGCCAUCGCUCAACGGAUAAAAGGUACUCCGGGGAUAACAGGCUGAUACCGCCCAAGAGUUCAUAUCGACGGCGGUGUUUGGCACCUCGAUGUCGGCUCAUCACAUCCUGGGGCUGAAGUAGGUCCCAAGGGUAUGGCUGUUCGCCAUUUAAAGUGGUACGCGAGCUGGGUUUAGAACGUCGUGAGACAGUUCGGUCCCUAUCUGCCGUGGGCGCUGGAGAACUGAGGGGGGCUGCUCCUAGUACGAGAGGACCGGAGUGGACGCAUCACUGGUGUUCGGGUUGUCAUGCCAAUGGCACUGCCCGGUAGCUAAAUGCGGAAGAGAUAAGUGCUGAAAGCAUCUAAGCACGAAACUUGCCCCGAGAUGAGUUCUCCCUGAGACUUAGAGUCUCCUGAAGGAACGUUGAAGACGACGACGUUGAUAGGCCGGGUGUGUAAGCGCAGCGAUGCGUUGAGCUAACCGGUACUAAUGAACCGUGAGGCUUAACCUU
RNAcentral lists this ribosomal RNA (2239 nucleotides) under Salmonella enterica subsp. enterica serovar Bredeney. Its description in RNAcentral is "partial 23S ribosomal RNA". It matches the Rfam family "Bacterial large subunit ribosomal RNA", at positions 711 to 2925 of the family's 2925-position model. The record is from RNAcentral. Lineage: Bacteria; Pseudomonadati; Pseudomonadota; Gammaproteobacteria; Enterobacterales; Enterobacteriaceae.